UUCACAACCGAAUUGUUAUCAGAGGACUAAAUACCAUUCCAUUGUUUGUGCAGCUGCUUUAUUCUCCCAUUGAAAACAUCCAAAGAGUAGCUGCAGGGGUCCUCUGUGAACUUGCUCAGGACAAGGAAGCUGCAGAAGCUAUUGAAGCUGAGGGAGCCACAGCUCCUCUGACAGAGUUACUUCACUCUAGGAAUGAAGGUGUGGCGACGUAUGCAGCUGCUGUUUUGUUCCGAAUGUCUGAGGACAAGCCACAAGAUUACAAGAAACGGCUUUCAGUUGAGCUGACCAGCUCUCUCUUCAGAACAGAGCCAAUGGCUUGGAAUGAGGUAGGGAAAUGUGAGCAGUUAUUUAUCUGGUAGUUUCCUAGAGCAGGUAAGGCAGCUUGUUCUUUCCUCUCAAAACACUUAGUACACAUUCAUUUGCAUUGAUGUUUCCCUGGCUUGAGUAUUUCUUCUUUAUGCUGUCUAGCAACUGCUCUGAGGAAGAACUAUAAUACAAGCUUUAAAGAGCCUGUUCAGAAUCAUUACAAAUAAGUUGUGUUAUUUAAAAUUAUAAUUCAUAAGGGAGAAAGAUGAAAAAUGUUACCAGAUUAAAGAAGAUUUUUCAAAAGGAUGUAAGGAAAGAGGCAGUGUUAAACACUGUUAGAGGACAGUUUAUCAGUAUUUUUUACUAAACUUUAAUAAAACUUUUCUAUUUGAAUUUCUGCUAUGAAUUUUUCUUCAGUGUUUGUCCUCGGUACAGGUGGUUCCUUGAAACAUUGUUUCUAAUAAAACUAGAACAUCCUGAUAUUUUAUCCACUCUACAGAGAUCAUUGAUGGUACACAGUCAUACAGU
This 834-nucleotide small RNA is filed under the name Pan troglodytes (chimpanzee). RNAcentral's name for it is "retained intron". Lineage: Eukaryota; Metazoa; Chordata; Mammalia; Primates; Hominidae. The record is from RNAcentral.